AGCAGUAGCCACGGGAAUACAGAGGAUGCAAGCGUUAUCCGGAAUGAUUGGGCGUAAAGGGUACGUAGAUGGCCUUUUAAGCGUAGGGUAUAAGGCAAUGGCUCAACCAUUGUUCGCCCUAUGAACUGGAAGGCUUGAGUGCAGGAGAGGAAAGCGGAAUUCCUAGUGUAGCGGUGGAAUGCAUAGAUAUUAGGAGGAACAUCAGCGGCGAAGGCGGCUUUCUGGACUGCAACUGACACUGAGGUACGAAAGCGUGGGGAGCAAACAGGAUUAGAUACCCCUGUAGUCCCUGUCUCUUAUACA
Molecule: ribosomal RNA, 303 nt
Filed under: uncultured bacterium
Lineage: Bacteria
Description: partial 16S ribosomal RNA
Rfam family: Bacterial small subunit ribosomal RNA
Source: RNAcentral